This 253-nucleotide ribosomal RNA is filed under the name uncultured bacterium. Its description in RNAcentral is "partial 16S ribosomal RNA". It matches the Rfam family "Bacterial small subunit ribosomal RNA", at positions 524 to 776 of the family's 1533-position model. The record is from RNAcentral.
GACAGAGGGUGCAACCGUUGUUCGGAAUUACUGGGCGUAAAGCGUGCGCAGGCGGUUUUGUAAGUCUGUCGUGAAAGCCCCGGGCUCAACCUGGGAAUUGCGAUGGAGACUGCAAGGCUUGAAUCUGGCAGAGGGGGGUAGAAUUCCACGUGUAGCAGUGAAAUGCGUAGAGAUGUGGAGGAACACCGAUGGCGAAGGCAGCCCCCUGGGUCAAGAUUGACGCUCAUGCACGAAAGCGUGGGGAGCAAACAGG